RNAcentral lists this ribosomal RNA (673 nucleotides) under Methylobacterium sp. iEI6. RNAcentral describes it as "bacterial SSU rRNA". It matches the Rfam family "Bacterial small subunit ribosomal RNA", at positions 76 to 788 of the family's 1533-position model. The record is from RNAcentral. Lineage: Bacteria; Pseudomonadati; Pseudomonadota; Alphaproteobacteria; Hyphomicrobiales; Methylobacteriaceae.
CCCUUUCGGGUGUCAGCGGCGGACGGGUGAGUAACGCGUGGGAACGUGCCCUCUGGUUCGGAAUAACUCAGGGAAACUUGAGCUAAUACCGGAUACGCCCUUUUGGGGAAAGGCUUGCUGCCGGAGGAUCGGCCCGCGUCUGAUUAGCUAGUUGGUGAGGUAACGGCUCACCAAGGCGACGAUCAGUAGCUGGUCUGAGAGGAUGAUCAGCCACACUGGGACUGAGACACGGCCCAGACUCCUACGGGAGGCAGCAGUGGGGAAUAUUGGACAAUGGGCGCAAGCCUGAUCCAGCCAUGCCGCGUGAGUGAUGAAGGCCUUAGGGUUGUAAAGCUCUUUUAUCCGGGACGAUAAUGACGGUACCGGAGGAAUAAGCCCCGGCUAACUUCGUGCCAGCAGCCGCGGUAAUACGAAGGGGGCUAGCGUUGCUCGGAAUCACUGGGCGUAAAGGGCGCGUAGGCGGCGUUUUAAGUCGGGGGUGAAAGCCUGUGGCUCAACCACAGAAUGGCCUUCGAUACUGGGACGCUUGAGUAUGGUAGAGGUUGGUGGAACUGCGAGUGUAGAGGUGAAAUUCGUAGAUAUUCGCAAGAACACCGGUGGCGAAGGCGGCCAACUGGACCAUUACUGACGCUGAGGCGCGAAAGCGUGGGGAGCAAACAGGAUUAGAUACCCU